CGCCAGACUCCUACGGGAGGCAGCAGUGGGGAAUAUUGCACAAUGGGGGAAACCCUGAUGCAGCGACGCCGCGUGAGUGAAGAAGUAUUUCGGUAUGUAAAGCUCUAUCAGCAGGGAAGAAAAUGACGGUACCUGACUAAGAAGCCCCGGCUAACUACGUGCCAGCAGCCGCGGUAAUACGUAGGGGGCAAGCGUUAUCCGGAUUUACUGGGUGUAAAGGGAGCGUAGACGGCAUGGCAAGUCAGAUGUGAAAGCCCGGGGCUCAACCCCGGGACUGCAUUUGAAACUGUCAGGCUGGAGUGCAGGAGGGGUAAGUGGAAUUCCUAGUGUAGCGGUGAAAUGCGUAGAUAUUAGGAGGAACACCAGUGGCGAAGGCGGCUUACUGGACUGUAACUGACGUUGAGGCUCGAAAGCGUGGGGAGCAAACAGGAUUAGAUACCAGUACU
This 446-nucleotide ribosomal RNA is filed under the name uncultured bacterium. Its description in RNAcentral is "bacterial SSU rRNA". It matches the Rfam family "Bacterial small subunit ribosomal RNA", at positions 329 to 794 of the family's 1533-position model. The record is from RNAcentral.